This 468-nucleotide ribosomal RNA is filed under the name uncultured bacterium. RNAcentral's name for it is "partial 16S ribosomal RNA". It matches the Rfam family "Bacterial small subunit ribosomal RNA", at positions 28 to 507 of the family's 1533-position model. The record is from RNAcentral.
GACGAACGCUGGCGGCGUGCUUAACACAUGCAAGUCGAACGGAAAGGCCCUGCUUUUGUGGGGUGCUCGAGUGGCGAACGGGUGAGUAACACGUGAGUAACCUGCCCUUGACUUUGGGAUAACUUCAGGAAACUGGGGCUAAUACCGGAUAGGAGCUCCUGCUGCAUGGUGGGGGUUGGAAAGUUUCGGCGGUUGGGGAUGGACUCGCGGCUUAUCAGCUUGUUGGUGGGGUAGUGGCUUACCAAGGCUUUGACGGGUAGCCGGCCUGAGAGGGUGACCGGCCACAUUGGGACUGCGAGACGGACCAGAAUGCUACGGGAGGCAGCAGUGGGGAACAUUGCGCAAUGGGCGGAAGCCUGAGACAGCAACGUUGCGUGCGGGAUGACGUCCUUCGGGUUGUAAACCGCUUUCUACUGUGACGAAGCGUGCGUGACGGUAAUGGGUAAAGAAGCACCGGCUAACUACGUG